UUCUUAUCCAGAGAGGUGGAGGGACUGGCCCUAUGAAACCUCAGCAACAGACUUGUACAGAACUGUGCUAAUUCCAGUAGCGAAAAGCUUGGAGAUAAGAA
This 101-nucleotide non-coding RNA is filed under the name Sporosarcina sp. RNAcentral's name for it is "SAM-I sequence". It matches the Rfam family "SAM riboswitch aptamer (S box leader)". From Rfam's summary of the family: The SAM riboswitch is found upstream of a number of genes which code for proteins involved in methionine or cysteine biosynthesis in Gram-positive bacteria. The SAM riboswitch acts at the level of transcription termination control. Lineage: Bacteria; Bacillati; Bacillota; Bacilli; Caryophanales; Caryophanaceae. The record is from RNAcentral. RNAcentral also lists the same sequence under 1 other name.